GACGUAGGGCGCGAGCGUUGUCCGGAAUUAUUGGGCGUAAAGAGCUCGUAGGCGGCUUGUUGCGUCGGCUGUGAAAACCCGCGGCUCAACCGUGGGCUUGCAGCCGAUACGGGCAGGCUAGAGUUCGGUAGGGGAGACUGGAAUUCCUGGUGUAGCGGUGAAAUGCGCAGAUAUCAGGAGGAACACCGGUGGCGAAGGCGGGUCACUGGCCCGGUACUGACGCUGAGGUGCGAAAGCGUGGGGAGCAAACAGG
This 253-nucleotide ribosomal RNA is filed under the name uncultured bacterium. Its description in RNAcentral is "partial 16S ribosomal RNA". It matches the Rfam family "Bacterial small subunit ribosomal RNA", at positions 524 to 776 of the family's 1533-position model. The record is from RNAcentral.